CCAAAGGCUCUUUUUAGAGCCAUCGUUUUCCCUGGCAGGUGGUA
Molecule: non-coding RNA, 44 nt
Organism: Pongo abelii (Sumatran orangutan)
Lineage: Eukaryota; Metazoa; Chordata; Mammalia; Primates; Hominidae
Source: Rfam